UGUUCGCUUUCCAAAUAAAUCCCCUCUCUGAGAAGAACGGUGCUCCAUAGACACACCGUUGCAGCUCACAGCUUCUCUCUAUUCUCCUCUUCUUCUGGUCCGUCACAAUUCCCCCAACAAUGGAUGCUCAGCGAGCUUUGCUGGACGAGCUCAUGGGCUCAGCUCGGAAUUUGACUGAGGAAGAGAGAAGGGGUUACAGGGAGAUUAAAUGGGACGAUAAGGAGGUUUGUGCGUUUUACAUGGUGCGGUUCUGCCCUCAUGAUCUCUUCGUCAACACUCGGAGCGACCUCGGACCAUGCCCGAGAAUUCAUGAUUUGAAGUUGAAAGAGAGCUUUGAGCAGUCUCCUAGACACGAUGCCUUUAUCGCCAAGUUUGAAGCAGAACUUUGCCAGUUCUGUGAGAAAUUGGUUUCUGAUUUAGAUAGAAGAGUUAGACGUGGGCGGGAACGCCUUGCUCAAGAGGUUGAACCUGCCCCCUCUGCUGCGCUGUCAGCUGAAAAAUCUGAACAACUAUCUGUGCUGGAGGAGAAAAUUAAGAACCUGCUUGAACAAGUAGAAUCCCUUGGUGAAGCUGGAAAAGUUGACGAAGCUGAAGCACUCAUGAGGAAGGUCGAGCUGCUUAAUGCUGAAAAGACAUCGUUGACGCAACAACCUCAGAACGAGAAGCUAUUGAUGCUUACGCAGGAGAAAAAGAUGGCUCUUUGCGAGAUAUGUGGCUCUUUCCUAGUGGCAAAUGACGCAGCUGAAAGGAUUCAAUCGCAUGUCACAGGGAAACAGCAUGUGGGUUAUGGUAUGGUUCGGGACUUCAUCUCAGAGUAUAAGACUGCGAAGGAGGAGAAAAGGGAAGAGGAAAGGUUAGCUAGGGAGAAAGAAGCCGAAGAGAGGAAGAAGAUAAGGGAAAAGGAGCACGAGAGUAGAAGAAGAAGUGGAUCGAGAGACAAGGAUAGAUAUCGUGAACAGGAGCGGGACAGGGAUCAGGGCAGAGACAGAGAGAGGGAACGGGAUCGCUACCGGGAACGUGGUCGAGAUCGUGAGAGGUCACGAGAGAGGAAUGGUAGAGGUAGUUAUGAUGGAGGUAGAGGAAUGAAUUGGAGAUCCAGGAAAGGUAGAGAUGGUGCCAGGGAUCGGUACCAAGACAGAAGUAGGUCUCGCUCCCCUGUCAGGCAUGGUUACAAGGGUUCAUCUAGAAGUCCCGAUCACUGAAAUUUGGAAUAUGUAGCUGAAUGAAGCUCUAAACUUAUUAAGGUAGAUUUUUAUCUCAGAGAGUUUAUCACCCUUGCUUAACUCUCCAGUAAUUUCUUGCGGUGUGUGAAACUCCUUUUGUCCUAUCUCACAGCUUUCUUGAGAGUAUUACGAUCUCCGUCUGAUCAAUGUAGUUAAUGGAGAACAGGGCUGAGGUUGAUUCAGAGUCCCUGCCCUUUCCUUCUAAUUAAAGCAAUUGACUGGUUGGGGGUACUCUUUUUCCCAAGUAUUUAAGAGGACAGGCUCCAAAAAUGUAUGAAUGCAAAUGCUGAAGGGAUAUUGAUUGUUCCCUUGAUCUUAAGGUAACCUUAAGCUCUUUUCUCACCAGUGCAGCAUUUUGUUUAUGCCCUUGUGUGUAGCUCGACUAUCUUCUUUUUUUGCUCUACAUUUUCUGUCACGUGAUUCAGCCAUUUCCUUAACUUAUAUAUCCUUUUGAUUUAUUUGAGGUUGGUGUGAGCUACUUGAAGAUGAUUUCGAACUUAGGUUUCAUCUCCUUCUGAUCAUUUCGAAUAACGGGCAGGUAUAUUUUACUCAUAAUCCUCCCAUUGCCUUUAACUGCCUUAAGCUUCUGUAUGGGAGAGUUCAAAUGGCAGAAAGGUGUACGCGUGUGAGCCUUUGUAUAGCUACGCCACCUUGUACGGAAGUUAACCGUUGUACAAAUAGUUGCAAUCUCUGGGAUCUGGUCAUAAUCACCUUGAACUUUUACAGAGGGAUUAUGUAGCUUCUUUGCGGUCGCCCAUUAUGCAACUAUCUUAGGCAAGUGAUGUUUGUUUUGGAUUGAAGCCGGUCACUGGGCUACAGAAUUUGCUAACUACGUAGUGCUAGACCAGAGGUAAACUCAUUAUCAUAACAGCCAAAAUAGCAUGUUUCAAUUGUAGUAUGCAGGAGAGGCAGGUUAUCAGUUAUCCAUCUCGUUUCAGGGUACGUGUUUCUCGCUGUGUUAGUAGGUUUCUUGUGUUAUAAUGGAAAGUUCCAUACAGAGGAAAGUCAUUCGAUCACUCCUGCCAAAAUGUGUAUUGAGAAAAUAUUUGAAACAAAGGACCAGUUUACAUAUCAGCAGAGUCGGCUGUGUAAAUACUUGAAAAGAAA
Molecule: RNA transcript, 2330 nt
Organism: Rhodamnia argentea
Lineage: Eukaryota; Viridiplantae; Streptophyta; Magnoliopsida; Myrtales; Myrtaceae
Gene name: luc7-like protein 3
Exons: 8
Source: RefSeq, a predicted model, not a curated record